CCUACGGGAGGCAGCAGUGAGGAAUAUUGGUCAAUGGCCGGAAGGCUGAACCAGCCAUGCCGCGUGAAGGGCAGGGCCCUAUGGGCGUUAAACUUCUUUUGUGCGGGAGCAAUAAUGGUCACGUGUGGCCAGACGAGAGUACCGUACGAAUAAGCAUCGGCUAACUACGUGCCAGCAGCCGCGGUAAUACGUAGGGGGCAAGCGUUAUCCGGAUUUACUGGGGGUAAAGGGGGCGCAGACGGCAAUGCAAGCCAGGAGUGAAAGCCCGGGGCCCAACCCCGGGACUGCUCUUGGAACUGCAUUGCUGGAGUACAGGAGGGGCAGGCGGAAUUCCUAGUGUAGCGGUGAAAUGCGUAGAUAUUAGGAGGAACACCGGUGGCGAAGGCGGCCUGCUGGACUGUGACUGACGUUGAGGCCCGAAGGCGUGGGGAGCAAACAGGAUUAGAUACCCCAGUAGUC
Molecule: ribosomal RNA, 459 nt
Filed under: uncultured bacterium
Lineage: Bacteria
Description: partial 16S ribosomal RNA
Rfam family: Bacterial small subunit ribosomal RNA
Source: RNAcentral